AUACAUGCAAGUCGAGCGAACGGACGAGAAGCUUGCUUCUCUGAUGUUAGCGGCGGACGGGUGAGUAACACGUGGAUAACCUACCUAUAAGACUGGGAUAACUUCGGGAAACCGGAGCUAAUACCGGAUAAUAUUUUGAACCGCAUGGUUCAAAAGUGAAAGACGGUCUUGCUGUCACUUAUAGAUGGAUCCGCGCUGCAUUAGCUAGUUGGUAAGGUAACGGCUUACCAAGGCAACGAUGCAUAGCCGACCUGAGAGGGUGAUCGGCCACACUGGAACUGAGACACGGUCCAGACUCCUACGGGAGGCAGCAGUAGGGAAUCUUCCGCAAUGGGCGAAAGCCUGACGGAGCAACGCCGCGUGAGUGAUGAAGGUCUUCGGAUCGUAAAACUCUGUUAUUAGGGAAGAACAUAUGUGUAAGUAACUGUGCACAUCUUGACGGUACCUAAUCAGAAAGCCACGGCUAACUACGUGCCAGCAGCCGCGGUAAUACGUAGGUGGCAAGCGUUAUCCGGAAUUAUUGGGCGUAAAGCGCGCGUAGGCGGUUUUUUAAGUCUGAUGUGAAAGCCCACGGCUCAACCGUGGAGGGUCAUUGGAAACUGGAAAACUUGAGUGCAGAAGAGGAAAGUGGAAUUCCAUGUGUAGCGGUGAAAUGCGCAGAGAUAUGGAGGAACACCAGUGGCGAAGGCGACUUUCUGGUCUGUAACUGACGCUGAUGUGCGAAAGCGUGGGGAUCAAACAGGAUUAGAUACCCUGGUAGUCCACGCCGUAAACGAUGAGUGCUAAGUGUUAGGGGGUUUCCGCCCCUUAGUGCUGCAGCUAACGCAUUAAGCACUCCGCCUGGGGAGUACGACCGCAAGGUUGAAACUCAAAGGAAUUGACGGGGACCCGCACAAGCGGUGGAGCAUGUGGUUUAAUUCGAAGCAACGCGAAGAACCUUACCAAAUCUUGACAUCCUU
Molecule: ribosomal RNA, 959 nt
Filed under: Staphylococcus aureus
Lineage: Bacteria; Bacillati; Bacillota; Bacilli; Caryophanales; Staphylococcaceae
Description: bacterial SSU rRNA
Rfam family: Bacterial small subunit ribosomal RNA
Source: RNAcentral